GACGAACGCUGGCGGCGUGCUUAACACAUGCAAGUCGAACGGAAAGGCCCUGCUUUUGUGGGGUUCUCGAUUGGCGAACGGGUGAGUAACACGUGAGUAACCUGCCCUUGACUUUGGGAUAACUUCAGGAAACUGGGGCUAAUACCGGAUAGGAGCUCCUGCUGCAUGGUGGGGGUUGGAAAGUGUCGGCGGUUUGGGAUGGAAUCGCGGCUUAUCAGCUUGUUUGUGGGGUAGUGGCUUACCAAGGCUUUGACGGGUAGCCGGCAUGAGAGCGUGACCGGCGACAUUGGGACUGAGAUACGGACCAGAAGCCUACGGGCGGCAGCAGUGGGGAGUAUUGCAGAGCGGGCGGAAGCCUGAUGAAGAAACGCCGGGUGCGGGAUGCCGGCUUUCGGGUUGUAAACAGAUUUCGAAUGUGACGAGGAGUGCGUGACGGUAAUGGGUCAAGAAGCACCGGCUAACUACGUG
This 468-nucleotide ribosomal RNA is filed under the name uncultured bacterium. RNAcentral describes it as "partial 16S ribosomal RNA". It matches the Rfam family "Bacterial small subunit ribosomal RNA", at positions 28 to 507 of the family's 1533-position model. The record is from RNAcentral.